Molecule: ribosomal RNA, 959 nt
Filed under: uncultured bacterium
Lineage: Bacteria
Description: bacterial SSU rRNA
Rfam family: Bacterial small subunit ribosomal RNA
Source: RNAcentral
GGCUAANUCCGUGCCAGCAGCCGCGGUAAUACGGAGGAUGCGAGCGUUNUCCGGAUUUAUUGGGUUUGAAGGGUGCGUAGGCGGCCUGUUAAGUCAGCGGUGAANUCUAGGGGCUUAACUCCUAAAUUGCCAUUGAUACUGGUGGGCUUGAGUGUAGAUGAGGUAGGCGGAAUGCGUGGUGUAGCGGUGGAAUGCAUAGAUAUCACGCAGAACUCCAAUUGCGAAGGCAGCUUACUAAGGUACAACUGACGCUGAAGCACGAAAGCGUGGGUAUCAAACAGGAUUAGAUACCCUGGUAGUCCACGCAGUAAACGAUGAUAACUGGGCGUAUGCGAUAUACAGUAUGCUCNUAAGCGAAAGCGUUAAGUUAUCCACCUGGGGAGUACGCCGGCAACGGUGAAACUCAAAGGAAUUGACGGGGGCCCGCACAAGCGGAGGAACAUGUGGUUUAAUUCGAUGAUACGCGAGGAACCUUACCCGGGAUUGAAAUGUAGAUGACCGCCGGUGAAAGUCGGCUUCCCUUCGGGGCAUCUAUGUAGGUGCUGCAUGGUUGUCGUCAGCUCGUGCCGUGAGGUGUCGGCUUAAGUGCCAUAACGAGCGCAACCCCUGUCUACGGUUGCCAUCAGGUAAUGCUGGGAACUCCGUAGAGACUGCCGUCGUAAGGCGUGAGGAAGGUGGGGAUGACGUCAAAUCAGCACGGCCCUUACAUCCGGGGCGACACACGUGUUACAAUGGUGGGGACAAAGGGCAGCUACCUGGCGACAGGAUGCGAAUCUCCAAACCCCAUCACAGUUCGGAUCGGAGUCUGCAACUCGACUCCGUGAAGCUGGAUUCGCUAGUAAUCGCGCAUCAGCCAUGGCGCGGUGAAUACGUUCCCGGGCCUUGUACACACCGCCCGUCAAGCCAUGGGAGUCUGGAGUACCUAAAGUCCGUACCUGCGAGGGUCGGCCUAGGGUAAU